UGAGACAGGGACAGGUGAGACAGGGCCAUGGGCAGCAUCUGCGUGGUGGUCACCUCCUGGCCACACACCUUGGACAGCACCUGCGCAGGUGAGACACAGGUGAGACACAGGUGAGAGACAGGUGAGAUACAGGUGUAAUAUGGACAGGUGAGACAUGUGAUACAGGUGAGACACAGGUGUGACAGGUGAGACAGGUGAGAUAUGGACAGGUGAGAUGGGACAGGUGAGAUAUAGACAGGUGUGAUAGGGACAGGUGAGACAGGUGAGACAUGGACAGGGAUUGGGGACAUCCAUUGCUCAUGCCCAGGUGUGCCCAGGUGUGUUCCUAUUCCUCUCAGGUGUGCUGUGUCUGUGCCCAGGUGUGCCCAGGUGUGUUCCUAUUCCUCUCAGGUGUACCCAGGUGUGCCCAGGUGUGUUCCUAUCCCCCUCAGGUGUGCCCAGGUGUACCCAGGUGUGUUCCUAUUCCUCCCAGGUGUACCCAGGUGUGUUCCUAUCCCUCUCAGCUGUGCCCAGGUGUGCUGUGGCUGUGCCCAGGUGUGCCCAGGUGUGUUCCUAUCCCUCUCAGGUGUGCCCAGGUCUGUUCCUAUCCCUCUCAGCUGUGCCCAGGUGUGCUGUGGCUGUGCCCAGGUGUGCCC
Vidua chalybeata is the source of this 635-nucleotide long non-coding RNA. RefSeq lists it as uncharacterized. The record is from RefSeq and is a predicted model, not a curated record. The transcript has 3 exons. NCBI's taxonomy places the organism in Eukaryota, Metazoa, Chordata, Aves, Passeriformes, Viduidae.